GGGCAUUGUCAUUACCUAAGUCAGCCAACUUACAACACAGAAUGUUCGAAACUUUCCUUACCCAAACAAAACCUUCCUGAUCUUUGUGAUAGGCAUCUAUCACUGGUUCAGGAAGUAAAACAAAAGUACACAAUUUAUUAUAGCCAGGCUAUAUAAGAGCUACCUUUGCCAAAAGAUGUGCCACACUAUUUCCUUCACGAAAGUUAUGCUUCACCACGAUCUCCCCCAUUUGCAUUGCCUUCUCUAUUAACCACCUGCAGUCAUAGAUUAAAUCAUUGAUUUGUGGACUGGAUUUAUUUUGAGUCCCUUCAUAAUAGGUGACUGGAUAUAGUGGGCUUUAGUGACUACUGUCCAGCUUGUUUUUGGUGUACUACUUUAUGGUGAAUUUCUGGAUUAUGGUGCCUAACUUACCUUGAAAAAGGUGCCUUGUUGAUCAUAUAUGUACUUCUGGGAAAAUCCUUGAAAGCUCUUACUAAAGGAAAGGCAUCAUGUGCUAUCAAAAAGCUUUAUUUGUUACAAGGAGAAGUGAAUGCUUUAUUGAUUCAACCUGGUGACGUACUAAAAUGCUUCUUGUUAUUAAAGCUCCUGUCAGUGAUGUGGUUGUUAUUUAUAUAGAGAUUUGGAUACAUGGUCCUGAUUAUUGGAUAAGCAGUGACCAUAAUGGUUUUCUAGCUUUCCAUCAAGCAAAAUUAGGAUAUGGUGAAGAUCUCACUGAUCUGAGGAAAUUUGGUGGAAGGCAAUUGACUUUUAUUCCAUAUGUCUCUUGGUUUUUCUUGGUCCAUUUGACAAUUGAUCAUAGUUUAAGGUUGCAAAGGAGGAAAACUCAUCUUUCUCAAGGUUGUUGGGUUGUGCUGCAACAACAUAUGCAUGUAGCUGCUUUUCGUGCUUGGGUGAUGUUGUUUCUUCUCUUGGAGAAGUAUACUUAUGGUGGCAUAGUGCUCUACCUUGGAGAACAUAUUUAACAUUUGUUGAUGAGCGAAUUGAAAAUUCAAAGAGACACAAUAUCUCUCUGGACUUUUAUCUUGGAAAUGGAAAUACUAUUACUGGAUCAGUUCGUGAGUUCACUAAUGAUGUCGUUGGGUUGUUUAUUUCUGUUGUUAUACAUCUUGAUAGUGAUGGGUUUGAUGAUAAUUUUGAUUCCCUACUGUUGGUUCAAGAUACUACUCUAACUGGUGGAAUGGUAACUUACUCUUCUAUGUAUUAUUCUGUCAUAUCUAGAGGUGGUAAGCUCACCAAGGCUGUUGAUGUUAGUGUCAAUCUUACCAGACUCAUUCUUGCUGCCAUCCAUGGUAUAUUAGUUGCUGUUUUUGGAACUGUGAGUGACUUGGUUUGGGUUUUAUGGCUUCACCGGUCCAUAUCUCCAACCUUGAGGACAAGGUUGUUUUAAGGGGGAUGGAUUGUUACGAAUAUGGUCUAAGUUUAGGGGUUUUUAAAUGAAGAUUUUUGGUUUUAUUAUGUGGUGUCCUUAGUUUAUUUUAUGUUAGUUGAAUCCUGUUGUUAUUCACAUUUUAGUACCUAAAGAUGUCCACUUUUGUUGGUCGACACGUGUCCAGUUUGUUAGGCUACUAGUUGUUUAAUACCGUGUAUUCCCUGUUUUGUUUAGUUAUGUUGAAUGAGAAAUCAAUUUUAUCUUCCUGUUUU
Molecule: long non-coding RNA, 1641 nt
Organism: Nicotiana tabacum (common tobacco)
Lineage: Eukaryota; Viridiplantae; Streptophyta; Magnoliopsida; Solanales; Solanaceae
Source: RefSeq, a predicted model, not a curated record